UCCGAUGCUGAUGCCGCCUUUGAGUCCU
Molecule: non-coding RNA, 28 nt
Filed under: Mus musculus (house mouse)
Lineage: Eukaryota; Metazoa; Chordata; Mammalia; Rodentia; Muridae
Source: RNAcentral